CCUACGGGUGGCAGCAGUGAGGAAUAUUGGUCAAUGGGCGGAAGCCUGAACCAGCCAAGUCGCGUGAGGGAAUAAGGCCCUACGGGUCGUAAACCUCUUUUGCCGGGGAGCAAGGGCCGGGACGCGUCCCGGCCCGGAGAGUACCCGGAGAAAAAGCAUCGGCUAACUCCGUGCCAGCAGCCGCGGUAAUACGGAGGAUGCGAGAGUUAUCCGGAUUUAUUGGGUUUAAAGGGGGCGUAGGCGGGCUUUUAAGUCUGAUGUGAAAGCCUUCGGCUUAACCGGAGUAGUGCAUUGGAAACGGGGAGACUGGGGUGCAGAAGAGGAGAGGGGAACUCCAUGUGUAGGGGUGAAAUGCGUAGAUAUAUGGAAGAACAGCAGUGGCGAAAGCGGCGCUCUGGUCUGUAACUGCCACUGACAUUGAUGCUCGAAAGUGUGGGGAUCAAACAGGAUUAGAUACCCCUGUAGUC
This 467-nucleotide ribosomal RNA is filed under the name uncultured bacterium. RNAcentral describes it as "partial 16S ribosomal RNA". It matches the Rfam family "Bacterial small subunit ribosomal RNA", at positions 338 to 795 of the family's 1533-position model. The record is from RNAcentral.